CUUGGUCAUUUAGAGGAAGUAAAAGUCGUAACAAGGUUUCCGUAGGUGAACCUGCGGAAGGAUCAUUGGUGAAUUUUAGGGUGCUCUGAGGCUUUAACAUGCACCAGAGGCCCGACAUCCACUUUUCCACACUGUGCACCCUUUGGCGAAAUGGAAUCACGAACACUCUUUUGCUGGGUUUCGUAGGGACGUUUUGCGGCUUCUUUACAAAAACACAAGUAUUAAGGAUGUAAACAAAAUUGUAAUAAAAAGAAAAACUUUCAACAACGGAUCUCUUGGCUCUCGCAUCGAUGAAGAACGCAGCGAAAUGUGAUAAGUAAUGUGAAUUGCAGAAUUCAGUGAAUCAUCGAAUCUUUGAACGCACCUUGCGCUCUCUGGUAUUCCGGAGAGCAUGUCUGUUUGAGUGUCAUGAACUCUUCAACACACCGGUUCCUAGCUGAACCGGCGCGUGUUUGGAUUCUGAGUGUUGCUAUUCAGUUAGCUCACUCGUAAUAUAUUAGCAUCUCAAUUUCUUAAUCGGAUUGACUCGGCGUAAUAGACUAUUCGCUGAGGACACCAGACCGCGUUGUUUGGUGGCCGAGAAAUGGAAAAGGGACGCUUCGAACCCUUGCAAGUCAUUCUAAGAUUAGACCUCAGAUCAGGCAGGACUACCCGCUGAACUUAAGCAUAUCAAUAAGCGGAGGA
RNAcentral lists this ribosomal RNA (684 nucleotides) under uncultured fungus. Its description in RNAcentral is "eukaryotic LSU rRNA". The stretch from base 256 to 409 matches the Rfam family "5.8S ribosomal RNA". The record is from RNAcentral. Lineage: Eukaryota; Fungi.